ACUGGAGGACCAAGAAGGCUGAGCCUGAUGAAGCAAGACUUUGCUUAUACACUCCUCCUAGAAAAAAGCGUUGGAGAAAGCAGCCCUUAUUGGAGAAAAUCUCAGGGCUGACUGUACUACCUAAUAAUC
Castor canadensis (American beaver) is the source of this 129-nucleotide non-coding RNA. The record is from Ensembl. Lineage: Eukaryota; Metazoa; Chordata; Mammalia; Rodentia; Castoridae.